This 424-nucleotide ribosomal RNA is filed under the name Grania americana. RNAcentral's name for it is "partial 16S ribosomal RNA". It matches the Rfam family "Bacterial large subunit ribosomal RNA", at positions 1842 to 2564 of the family's 2925-position model. Lineage: Eukaryota; Metazoa; Annelida; Clitellata; Enchytraeida; Enchytraeidae. The record is from RNAcentral.
CAUAUAUAAAAUAAUCUCCUGCCCAGUGACAUUUAACGGCCGCGGUAUCCUAACCGUGCAAAGGUAGCAUAAUAAUUUGCCCAUUAAUUGUGGGCUAGCAUGAAAGGGGUAACGAAAUAAGAUCUUUCCCAAUAGAGACUUUAAAAACUACCAUAAAAGUGAAGAGGCUUUUAUUAUAAUAAAGGACAAGAAGACCCUAUAGAGCUUUAUCUUAAAACUACAAUAUCUCAAUAGAUUCGGUUGGGGCGACCCAGGAAAAAUCAUCCUUAAAUUUUACGAUAAAUAAAUCUCAUUACUGAUCCUUAUAAGAUCUCAAAAUCAAGCUACCUUAGGGAUAACAGACUAAUCCUACUAUAAAGUUCAUAUUAACAGUGGGGAUUGGCACCUCGAUGUUGGCUUAAUUCCCUUAUUGGUGCAGAUGUCA